Molecule: ribosomal RNA, 406 nt
Filed under: uncultured bacterium
Lineage: Bacteria
Description: partial 16S ribosomal RNA
Rfam family: Bacterial small subunit ribosomal RNA
Source: RNAcentral
AUUGAACGCUGGCGGCAGGCCUAACACAUGCAAGUCGAACGAGUGGCGGACGGGUGAGUAAUGUAUGGGAAACUGCCCGGUGGAGGGGGAUAACUACUGGAAACGGUAGCUAAUACCGCAUACCAUCGGAUGUGCCCAGAUGGGAUUAGCUAGUAGGUGGGGUAACGGCUCACCAAGGCCACGAUCCCUAGCUGGUCUGAGAGGAUGACCAGCCACACGGGAACUGAGACACGGCCCAGACUCCUACGGGAGGCAGCAGUGGGGAAUAUUGCACAAUGGGGGCAAGCCUGAUGCAGCCAUGCCGCGUGUAUGAAGAAGGCCUUCGGGUUGUAAAGUACUUUCAGCGGGGAGGCGGUAUCCGCAGAAGAAGCACCGGCUAACUCCGUGCCAGCAGCCGCGGUAAUUC